CAAUGUUAUAAAAUCCUACGAGAGAGAAAGAAAUAUACACUAUUUCAGUCUUACCUAUAGAAACGGUUAUGGUUAAUGUAAUUGAUUACAGCGGUAUAUUUACGUAGGUAUUUUGCUUGUCGUGCGUGUGGUUUGGCGAGACUUUGUGUACCUUGGUGUGGCGUCGCGUAGUAAGUGUAUAGAAAAUACGUAAAAGGCAUCAUUAGAAUAUGAUUGAUAUUAAAUUGAUCGUUAAAUUCGUUUUAAUUUGAAUACAUAGUCGUUCCUGGUGAACCUUGUUACGAAAUACAAAAAUGUUGCUCACAAGAUAGUACAGUGGAAUGCUACUACCGCAAAACACUUCUGUCGAUCGACUAGAAUCGACCGUUCACUCGGCCAACAUAACCACCGAGAAGGCUACAACCACAGACGAGAUCUGCAACGAUGCAGAAAGGCGGAUUUCUAGGUCAUUCGGAUGCGGUUGCAUUGGGUGCUACAGUACGGAGCAUCGUGGAAACGUACCAAUGAACUCCACUGGAGCAGGAUGUCAGAAAUACAAAGAGUCAGGAGGGUCCCCCAGAACUGGCCUGCCCCACGAUCGACCGGCAAAACACGUCAGUUCUCGUGACCGCGAAACGCUGAUCGCGAGAUUUUCUUGCUCUCCAUUACCAACUGCUUCAUAGAGGCAA
Molecule: long non-coding RNA, 668 nt
Organism: Dufourea novaeangliae
Lineage: Eukaryota; Metazoa; Arthropoda; Insecta; Hymenoptera; Halictidae
Exons: 3
Source: RefSeq, a predicted model, not a curated record